AUACGGAGGUGGCAAGCGUUGCUCGGAAUCACUGGGCUUAAAGGGCGUGUAGGCGGAAAAUUAAGUCGGGUGUGAAAUCCCUCGGCUCAACCGAGGAAUUGCAUCCGAAACUGAUUUACUUGAGUGCGGGAGGGGAGAGUGGAACUCCAGGUGUAGCGGUGAAAUGUGUAGAUAUCUGGAGGAACGCCGGUGGCGAAAGCGACUCUCUGGCCCGAUACUGACGCUGAGGCGCGAAAGCUAGGGUAGCAAACGGGAUUAGAAACCCCAGUAGUCC
This 274-nucleotide ribosomal RNA is filed under the name uncultured bacterium. RNAcentral's name for it is "partial 16S ribosomal RNA". It matches the Rfam family "Bacterial small subunit ribosomal RNA", at positions 523 to 796 of the family's 1533-position model. The record is from RNAcentral.